UUUUUCGCUUCGUUGAAUUUCAGAAAGAGACUCGCUGUUGCGGAGAAGGGGAGGGGACAUUACCAUCACUAAAAUGAAUUUCAUGAUGAAAAUAUGAUAUAGUCUUCAUGUGAUAACAACUAGGAAAAACUGACAAUUAGGAAAUAGGACUAGAUCCCCUGCAGAUUCUCCUGCCUGUACAACCCACCAUACCCUUUUGUCCAAAGAGUUUCUGCCACCAUUCCUGAGAUGGACUUUCUCCAACCCCACCCAACAUGUAUGUAUUCAUAAUUUCACCACUUUGGAGGUGUAUUUUCUAGUACAUCCUGGACAUACCAUACUGAACAGUCCCUACUUUCCUAUGAGCUGCACCACUAGUAGCUGCUGCCGCCGCAACUCCAAUUCCACCAUAUUGGGAUUUAGCCUGCAAUAAGUUUGUGUCUAUGGUGAUUCGGUCAUCAACACGAUCUGGUUUUGUAACUCCAGCUCGCAUCAUAUAGAAUGGGUUGCUAUCAAUAUUUAUAGCAAUAUCUGGGGCUAACUUAGCAGCCAUUCCACAUGGUGCCAUUGGCUUUGAAUGACAAUUCAUAUCCCUCUCUGUCUCAACAGACCUUUCUUGUUUCACCACCCCACUUCUGUCGUAGCUGUAAACUGAAGACAUAAUCUGAGGGGGGCCUACUGCAUUCCUGACUUGAGACCUAGGAUCAUAUUUUUCUCUAUUUCC
RNAcentral lists this unclassified non-coding RNA (703 nucleotides) under Hevea brasiliensis (rubber tree). The record is from RNAcentral. Lineage: Eukaryota; Viridiplantae; Streptophyta; Magnoliopsida; Malpighiales; Euphorbiaceae.